AUUGAACGCUGGCGGCAUGCUUUACACAUGCAAGUCGAACGGUAACAGGCCGCAAGGUGCUGACGAGUGGCGAACGGGUGAGUAAUGCAUCGGAGCGUGCCCAGUCGUGGGGGAUAACUACUCGAAAGAGUAGCUAAUACCGCAUACGAUCUAUGGAUGAAAGCGGGGGACCGUAAGGCCUCGCGCGAUUGGAGCGGCCGAUGUCAGAUUAGGUAGUUGGUGGGGUAAAGGCUCACCAAGCCAACGAUCUGUAGCUGGUCUGAGAGGACGACCAGCCACACUGGGACUGAGACACGGCCCAGACUCCUACGGGAGGCAGCAGUGGGGAAUUUUGGACAAUGGGCGCAAGCCUGAUCCAGCAAUGCCGCGUGCAGGAAGAAGGCCUUCGGGUUGUAAACUGCUUUUGUACGGAACGAAACGGCUCUGGUUAAUACCCGGGGCUAAUGACGGUACCGUAAGAAUAAGCACCGGCUAACUACGU
RNAcentral lists this ribosomal RNA (481 nucleotides) under uncultured bacterium. RNAcentral's name for it is "partial 16S ribosomal RNA". It matches the Rfam family "Bacterial small subunit ribosomal RNA", at positions 30 to 506 of the family's 1533-position model. The record is from RNAcentral.